GACGAACGCUGGCGGCGUGCUUAACACAUGCAAGUCGAACGGAAAGGCCCUGCUUUUGUGGGGUGCUCGAGUGGCGAACGGGUGAGUAACACGUGAGUAACCUGCCCUUGACUUUGGGAUAACUUCAGGAAACUGGGGCUAAUACCGGAUAGGAGCUCCUGCUGCAUGGUGGGGGUUGGAAAGUUUCGGCGGUUGGGGAUGGACUCGCGGCUUAUCAGCUUGUUGGUGGGGUAGUGGCUUACCAAGGCUUUGACGGGUCGCCGGCCUGAGAGGGUGACCGGCCACAUGGGGACUGAGAUACGGCCCAGACUCCUACGGGAGGCAGCAGUGGGGAAUAUUGCACAAUGGGCGGAAGCCUGAUGCAGCAACGCCGCGUGCGGGAUGACGGCCUUCGGGUUGUAAACCGCUUUCGCCUGUGACGAAGCGUGAGUGACGGUAAUGGGUAAAGAAGCACCGGCUAACUACGUG
Molecule: ribosomal RNA, 468 nt
Filed under: uncultured bacterium
Lineage: Bacteria
Description: partial 16S ribosomal RNA
Rfam family: Bacterial small subunit ribosomal RNA
Source: RNAcentral